Molecule: ribosomal RNA, 327 nt
Filed under: uncultured bacterium
Lineage: Bacteria
Description: bacterial SSU rRNA
Rfam family: Bacterial small subunit ribosomal RNA
Source: RNAcentral
GAUGAACGCUGGCGGCGUGCUUAACACAUGCAAGUCGAACGGGGAUGCUGACGGAAGGGGUGCUUGCACUCUGGAAAUGAGUAUCUUAGUGGCGGACGGGUGAGUAACGCGUGGGUAACCUGCCCCAUACCGGGGGAUACCACCUGGAAACAGGUGCUAAUACCGCAUAAGCGCACGGGAGCGCAUGCUCCUGUGUGAAAAACUCCGGUGGUAUGGGAUGGACCCGCGUCUGAUUAGCCAGUUGGCAGGGUAACGGCCUACCAAAGCGACGAUCAGUAGCCGGCCUGAGAGGGUGGACGGCCACAUUGGGACUGAGACACGGCCCAA